This 524-nucleotide ribosomal RNA is filed under the name Scedosporium apiospermum. Its description in RNAcentral is "eukaryotic LSU rRNA". It matches the Rfam family "Eukaryotic large subunit ribosomal RNA", at positions 84 to 627 of the family's 3401-position model. Lineage: Eukaryota; Fungi; Ascomycota; Sordariomycetes; Microascales; Microascaceae. The record is from RNAcentral.
UAACGGCGAGUGAAGCGGCAACAGCUCAAAUUUGAAAUCUGGCGGCCUCUGGGCCGUCCGAGUUGUAAUUUGAAGAGGAUCUUUUGGCGAGGCGCCUUCCGAGUGCCCUGGAACGGGACGCCACAGAGGGUGAGAGCCCCGUAUGGUUGGACGCCGAGCCUCUGUAAAGCUCCUUCGACGAGUCGAGUAGUUUGGGAAUGCUGCUCAAAAUGGGAGGUAAACCCCUUCUAAAGCUAAAUACUGGCCAGAGACCGAUAGCGCACAAGUAGAGUGAUCGAAAGAUGAAAAGCACUUUGAAAAGAGAGUUAAAUAGCACGUGAAAUUGUUGAAAGGGAAGCGCUUGCGACCAGACUUGUGCCCGUCGAAUCAGCCGCCGCUCGCCGGCGGCGCACUUCGGCGGGCUCAGGCCAGCAUCAGUUCGCUGCAGGGGGAGAAAGGCGGCGGGAAUGUGGCUCUUCGGAGUGUUAUAGCCCGCCGCGCAAUACCCCUCGGCGGACUGAGGACCGCGCAUCUGCAAGGAUGCU